Molecule: ribosomal RNA, 253 nt
Filed under: uncultured bacterium
Lineage: Bacteria
Description: partial 16S ribosomal RNA
Rfam family: Bacterial small subunit ribosomal RNA
Source: RNAcentral
UACGGGGGGGGCAAGCGUUGUUCGGAAUUACUGGGCGUAAAGGGCUUGUAGGUGGCCAACUAAGUCAGACGUGAAAUCCCUCGGCUUAACCGGGGAACUGCGUCUGAUACUGGAUGGCUUGAGUUUGGGAGAGGGAUGCGGAAUUCCAGGUGUAGCGGUGAAAUGCGUAGAUAUCAGGAGGAACACCGGUGGCGAAGGCGGAUCUCUGGGCCUGUCCUGACGCUGAGGCGCGAAAGCUAGGGGAGCGAACAGG